This 253-nucleotide ribosomal RNA is filed under the name uncultured bacterium. Its description in RNAcentral is "partial 16S ribosomal RNA". It matches the Rfam family "Bacterial small subunit ribosomal RNA", at positions 524 to 776 of the family's 1533-position model. The record is from RNAcentral.
GACGAACCGUGCGAACGUUGUUCGGAAUCACUGGGCUUAAAGGGCGCGUAGGCGGUCAAUCCAGUCGGGGGUGGAAUCUUGCAGCUUAACUGUAAAAGUGCCUUCGAUACUGAUUGACUCGAGGGAGGUAGGGGCAGGUGGAACUUCCAGUGGAGCGGUGAAAUGUGUUGAUAUUGGAAGGAACGCCGGUGGCGAAAGCGACCUGCUGGAUCUCUUCUGACGCUGAGGCGCGAAAGCUAGGGGAGCAAACGGG